UACAGAGGGGGCAAGCGUUGUUCGGAAUUACUGGGCGUAAAGGGCGCGUAGGCGGCCUGUUAAGUCGAACGUGAAAUCCCCGGGCUCAACCCGGGAACUGCGUCCGAUACUGGCAGGCUUGAAUUCGGGAGAGGGAUGUGAAAUUCCAGGUGUAGCGGUGAAAUGCGUAGAUAUCUGGAGGAACACCGGUGGCGAAGGCGGCAUCCUGGACCGAUAUUGACGCUGAUGCGCGAAAGCCAGGGGAGCAAACGGG
This 253-nucleotide ribosomal RNA is filed under the name uncultured bacterium. Its description in RNAcentral is "partial 16S ribosomal RNA". It matches the Rfam family "Bacterial small subunit ribosomal RNA", at positions 524 to 776 of the family's 1533-position model. The record is from RNAcentral.